CCUACGGGGGGCUGCAGUGGGGAAUAUUGGACAAUGGGCGAAAGCCUGAUCCAGCCAUGCCGCGUGUGUGAAGAAGGCCUUCGGGUUGUAAAGCACUUUCAGUGGGGAAGAAAGCCUUGGGGCUAAUACCCUCGAGGAAGGACAUCACCCACAGAAGAAGCACCGGCUAACUCCGUGCCAGCAGCCGCGGUAAUACGGAGGGUGCGAGCGUUAAUCGGAAUUACUGGGCGUAAAGCGCGCGUAGGCGGUCUGAUAAGCCGGUUGUGAAAGCCCCGGGCUCAACCUGGGAACGGCAUCCGGAACUGUCAGGCUAGAGUGCAGGAGAGGAAGGUAGAAUUCCCGGUGUAGCAGUGAAAUGCGUAGAGAUCGGGAGGAAUACCAGUGGCGAAGGCGGCCUUCUGGACUGACACUGACGCUGAGGUGCGAAAGUGUGGGUAGCAAACAGGAUUAGAUACCCUUGUAGUC
RNAcentral lists this ribosomal RNA (465 nucleotides) under Vreelandella stevensii. RNAcentral describes it as "partial 16S ribosomal RNA". It matches the Rfam family "Bacterial small subunit ribosomal RNA", at positions 338 to 795 of the family's 1533-position model. Lineage: Bacteria; Pseudomonadati; Pseudomonadota; Gammaproteobacteria; Oceanospirillales; Halomonadaceae. The record is from RNAcentral.